Molecule: ribosomal RNA, 454 nt
Filed under: uncultured bacterium
Lineage: Bacteria
Description: partial 16S ribosomal RNA
Rfam family: Bacterial small subunit ribosomal RNA
Source: RNAcentral
GAUGAACGCUGACAGAAUGCUUAACACAUGCAAGUCAACUUGAACUUCGGUUUGGGUGGCGGACGGGUGAGUAACGCGUAAAGAACUUGCCUCACAGCUAGGGACAACAUUUGGAAACGAAUGCUAAUACCUGAUAUUAUGAUUUUAGGGCAUCCUAGAAUUAUGAAAGCUAUAUGCGCUGUGAGAGAGCUUUGCGUCCCAUUAGCUAGUUGGAGAGGUAACGGCUCACCAAGGCGAUGAUGGGUAGCCGGCCUGAGAGGGUGAACGGCCACAAGGGGACUGAGACACGGCCCUUACUCCUACGGGAGGCAGCAGUGGGGAAUAUUGGACAAUGGACCAAGAGUCUGAUCCAGCAAUUCUGUGUGCACGAUGAAGUUUUUCGGAAUGUAAAGUGCUUUCAGUUAGGAAGAAAAAAAUGACGGUACCAACAGAAGAAGUGACGGCUAAAUACGUG